Molecule: ribosomal RNA, 484 nt
Filed under: uncultured bacterium
Lineage: Bacteria
Description: partial 16S ribosomal RNA
Rfam family: Bacterial small subunit ribosomal RNA
Source: RNAcentral
AUUGAACGCUGGCGGCAGGCCUAACACAUGCCAGUCGAGCGGAUGAAGGGAGCUUGCUCCUGGAUUCAGCGGCGGACGGGUGAGUAAUGCCUAGGAAUCUGCCUGGUAGUGGGGGAUAACGUCCGGAAACGGGCGCUAAUACCGCAUACGUCCUGAGGGAGAAAGUGGGGGAUCUUCGGACCUCACGCUAUCAGAUGAGCCUAGGUCGGAUUAGCUAGUUGGCGGGGUAAAGGCCUACCAAGGCGACGAUCCGUAACUGGUCUGAGAGGAUGAUCAGUCACACUGGAACUGAGACACGGUCCAGACUCCUACGGGAGGCAGCAGUGGGGAAUAUUGGACAAUGGGCGAAAGCCUGAUCCAGCCAUGCCGCGUGUGUGAAGAAGGUCUUCGGAUUGUAAAGCACUUUAAGUUGGGAGGAAGGGCAGUAAGUUAAUACCUUGCUGUUUUGACGUUACCAACAGAAUAAGCACCGGCUAACUUCGUG